This 395-nucleotide unclassified non-coding RNA is filed under the name soil metagenome. RNAcentral's name for it is "partial contains 5.8S ribosomal RNA, internal transcribed spacer 2, and large subunit ribosomal RNA". The stretch from base 1 to 120 matches the Rfam family "5.8S ribosomal RNA", at positions 35 to 154 of the family's 154-position model. The record is from RNAcentral.
GAUGAAGAACGUAGCGAAAUGCGAUAAGUAAUGUGAAUUGCAGAAUUCAGUGAAUCAUCGAAUCUUUGAACGCACCUUGCGCCUUUUGGUAUUCCGAAAGGCACACCUGUUUGAGCGUCAUGAAUACCUCAAUCUCCAUCUUUUCUUCGGAUUGAUGGGUGACUUGGAUGUUGAGCCCUGCUGGUAUGCUAUAUCAGCUGGCUUUAAACUUAUUAGCCGGCUCUGUACUGGAUCGGUUUGACUCGACGUGAUAAUAUUAUCGUUGAGGAUGCAUGUCUCAUGCAGCCGGAAGGUAUCAAAGCAGCUUCUAGCUUGCCUUUAGUGCACUUUUACAUUUUAGACCUCAGAUCAGGUGGGACUACCCGCUGAACUUAAGCAUAUCAAUAAGCGGAGGA